This 69-nucleotide transfer RNA is filed under the name Ictidomys tridecemlineatus (thirteen-lined ground squirrel). RNAcentral describes it as "Spermophilus tridecemlineatus (thirteen-lined ground squirrel) tRNA". It matches the Rfam family "tRNA". From Rfam's summary of the family: Transfer RNA (tRNA) molecules are approximately 80 nucleotides in length. Their secondary structure includes four short double-helical elements and three loops (D, anti-codon, and T loops). Lineage: Eukaryota; Metazoa; Chordata; Mammalia; Rodentia; Sciuridae. The record is from Rfam by way of RNAcentral.
GGGGCUGUAGCUCAGUGGCAGAGCACUUGCCUAGCAUGCGUGUGGCACUGGGUUCAAUCGUCAGCACCA